UUCCCCUGUCUUUCCUCUCAGGUCCUGGACUGUGCAAUUAAGGGCGAUAACUCAGCAGGUCUCCUCUGCUUUCUCUAGAUUCGAGAUCAAGAGUGAAGUCAAUUUCAGGCUCGCGUUGUAAAUCAAAAGCAUUUCUUCUGGAGGGAAUGGGCAACAACCUCUAAUCUUCCUGCGUUCCCAGCUGUAAUUUAAGACCGUGAAGAGGGAGGAAAAGCACAUCCUUUACAAGAUCGCGGUGACGUAUGAUAGGAAGCGAGUCUUAUAGAAGGAAAAGAACAACUGAGUUACUGCACAAUCCGAGCCCCGUUUAUUCCCAAAGAGUUGCCACUGUGCUCAGCAGAGUUUAUUCCCAGGUAAGUGUGUACAGUCUGCCUUUAUGCAUGUGUGUAAGAAAGAGAGAGAGAAUAAUUGGCAAUUUAACUCCCGGCCAGACUGGAUUUUUAAACAUGUUAACACAUUAUUUCCUCCUUUUCUUCUGCGACACUUUUACUCUUUCUUUUCUCAUUUCAUUUAGUUGGUGAAACUCUUCCACCCCUGCCUCCUCUGAAUUCAUUGCAACAUUUUAAUGAUUUUAAUUUUCUCCAAAGGGAGGCAAAAGGAAAACCUGGAUUUUUCCUGAAUAGUAGCAAAGAAGGGAGAAGUGGAUGCAUGUAUAUAAAGAGAAGGAUUUUUUUUUCUUUCGGGCUGCGGGCCCAGUAACAUCUUUGAGUUCCAUUAAAAGCAACCCUAGUGAUGGGAGGGGUGGAAAAGUAAUUAUUAUCCGGGGAGGGGUGAAAAUUCUCAGGACCCUGUUAUUGGGGAGUGGGUGGGAAUUUUAAGCCGCCUUGAAUCCAUGUGGGUUGAGGAGGUGCGGAGGGGGGGGGGGACGACGACGGGUUAGUGUUUUCCUCCGGGCUAAGAUUCUUUCUCUGCUCGGAUAUAAAUUGUUUUGCUAAGCAAAUUUAAACGGCAGCAAAGUUUGCUUUUCUGAUUCCAACAGUUUUUGCCCUAACGAACCAGAUGUUUGGCUUGCCAAUUCCCCGAAGAAUGUUUAGGGGUUUCGCCAAGGGCGGGGGACCCAGUCCAGAAAUCCAGACCUUGGAAGUGGGAACACUAUUUUUAACCAGUAUCCGGAAAUUGGGAAAAGGGGGAGCCGAAGUGGACUCUCGCCCAGAAAAACGACUGAGGUGCUGUUCUUUUUAGGACUUGCUGGGAUUUUAUUAAACAUGCCCCACAUCGCAAUGUACGGAACUUUUUAUGAGUGUCCGCGGUGGGGGGGGGAAGAGAGCAGGCGCUUCCUCCCCUUCGAAAUUUGGUAUUUCUAGGUCAAAAUAUACAGUCGGAUCAACCAACCAGAGAAACCAUUAACCAAUAAUUUUUGCAGGCGUCCUUUUAUGGCCCGUGACAAAUAAUUACUUGUUUAUUUUAACCCUCUCCCAAAUUUAGGUUUUGCAAACGGGGAGGGGGGCCUGAAGAUCCCCCAGCAGUUGACAUGCGUAGGUAUACGUGCAGAAUAUAUGCGCACACGGAGACAGACAUCCU
This 1521-nucleotide long non-coding RNA is filed under the name Pogona vitticeps (central bearded dragon). RNAcentral describes it as "lncRNA (ENSPVIG00000015056.1)". Lineage: Eukaryota; Metazoa; Chordata; Lepidosauria; Squamata; Agamidae. The record is from RNAcentral.